UUUGACCUCAAAUCAGGUAGGACUACCCGCUGAACUUAAGCAUAUCAAUAAGCGGAGGAAAAGAAACUAACAAGGAUUCCCCUAGUAACUGCGAGUGAAGCGGGAAAAGCUCAAAUUUAAAAUCUGGCGGUCCCUGUGGCCGUCCGAGUUGUAAUUUAGAGAA
This 163-nucleotide ribosomal RNA is filed under the name uncultured Mycena. RNAcentral's name for it is "partial 28S ribosomal RNA". It matches the Rfam family "Eukaryotic large subunit ribosomal RNA", at positions 1 to 157 of the family's 3401-position model. The record is from RNAcentral. Lineage: Eukaryota; Fungi; Basidiomycota; Agaricomycetes; Agaricales; Tricholomataceae.